RNAcentral lists this ribosomal RNA (278 nucleotides) under uncultured Brevibacterium sp. RNAcentral's name for it is "partial 16S ribosomal RNA". It matches the Rfam family "Bacterial small subunit ribosomal RNA", at positions 76 to 354 of the family's 1533-position model. The record is from RNAcentral. Lineage: Bacteria; Bacillati; Actinomycetota; Actinomycetes; Micrococcales; Brevibacteriaceae.
CUUGCACCGGGUGGAUGAGUGGCGAACGGGUGAGUAACACGUGAGUAACCUGCCCCUGACUUCGGGAUAAGCCCGGGAAACUGGGUCUAAUACCGGAUACGACUGCCGGACGCAUGUCUGGUGGUGGAAAGUUUUUUCGGUUGGGGAUGGGCUCGCGGCCUAUCAGUUUGUUGGUGAGGUAAUGGCUCACCAAGACGACGACGGGUAGCCGGCCUGAGAGGGCGACCGGCCACACUGGGACUGAGACACGGCCCAGACUCCUACGGGAGGCAGCAGGU